This 206-nucleotide ribosomal RNA is filed under the name uncultured bacterium. RNAcentral's name for it is "partial 16S ribosomal RNA". It matches the Rfam family "Bacterial small subunit ribosomal RNA", at positions 524 to 727 of the family's 1533-position model. The record is from RNAcentral.
UACGAAGGGGGCUAGCGUUGCUCGGAAUUACUGGGCGUAAAGCGCACGUAGGCGGAUCUUUAAGUCAGGGGUGAAAUCCUGGAGCUCAACUCCAGAACUGCCUUUGAUACUGAGGACCUUUGAGUUCGGGGAGAGGUGAGUGGAACUGCGAGUGUAGAGGUGAAAUUCGUAGAUAUUCGCAAGAACACCAGUGGCGAAGGCGGCUC